This is a long non-coding RNA of Zalophus californianus (California sea lion), 698 nucleotides long. RefSeq lists it as uncharacterized. The record is from RefSeq and is a predicted model, not a curated record. NCBI's taxonomy places the organism in Eukaryota, Metazoa, Chordata, Mammalia, Carnivora, Otariidae. The transcript has 3 exons.
UCCAGAGUCAGGAAGAAAGGAUAAAGAAUAGUUCUCUGCGUGGAGAGAGGGAAGUCAGGACAGGGUAUGAUCUGAGAGAGAGUUUCAUCUGCUUUCACUGUACUAGAGGCAGAGAGAGACACCAGGAGGACAGGGUCCUGCCUUCUGGGAGCUCACGGCCUGGUGAAGGAGGCAGGCAUGCUCACAAGAAAUUAGCCUGCAAGGCUGAAUGAAAGAAAUUUGCCCAGAAAGCUGCAAAAUCAGGUGACUGGAUAGCAGUGGAAGGGGUUUGAAUAGGAAGAGCCGUGAUAGAAUUUAUUUUGAAAGCUGCCUCUACUUCCUCUGUGGGAUGUGAAUCGAGCGCGCACACGGCUGAAGGUGGGAAACCAGGAGACUGCGGUGGUCGCGCAGGGGACAGAUGAGCUGGCAGCGUCCUGUAGCAGAAUGGCACACUGAAGAAAUCGUCCAGGGAGGGACCCAGGAGUCUUGGCAGCUAUGGAUGAAAUGUGAGCUGAUUUAGAUACCAGUGGGAAGGAGCCAGUUGAGCGGAAGCAGGUGGAAUCCCAAUGGAAGGAGGGGACAGUGAAUGGACAAGUGUCGUGAGAAGUUUGGAGUCGAGUGGAGUGCCAGGAUCUGCCCGGGGCAGCUGAGACCAAGACUUCUCUUUUUCUCUGAAUGUGCCAGGCUGUGAGAACGCUGACAACUGCCCUCCGUGACGA